GUCAAUGGCCAUACCACCCAGAACGCGCCCAAUCUCAUCUGAUCUCAGAAGCUAAGCAGGGUCAGGCUUAGUUAGUACUUGGAUGGGAGAACAAUUAGAACCUCACUUUUGCUAGUGUUU
This is a ribosomal RNA of Otolemur garnettii (small-eared galago), 120 nucleotides long. Lineage: Eukaryota; Metazoa; Chordata; Mammalia; Primates; Galagidae. The record is from Ensembl.